Molecule: ribosomal RNA, 1563 nt
Filed under: Lacticaseibacillus casei
Lineage: Bacteria; Bacillati; Bacillota; Bacilli; Lactobacillales; Lactobacillaceae
Description: bacterial SSU rRNA
Rfam family: Bacterial small subunit ribosomal RNA
Source: RNAcentral
GAGUUUGAUCAUGGCUCAGGAUGAACGCUGGCGGCGUGCCUAAUACAUGCAAGUCGAACGAGUUUUGGUCGAUGAACGGUGCUUGCACUGAGAUUCGACUUAAAACGAGUGGCGGACGGGUGAGUAACACGUGGGUAACCUGCCCUUAAGUGGGGGAUAACAUUUGGAAACAGAUGCUAAUACCGCAUAAAUCCAAGAACCGCAUGGUUCUUGGCUGAAAGAUGGCGUCAAGCUAUCGCUUUUGGAUGGACCCGCGGCGUAUUAGCUAGUUGGUGAGGUAACGGCUCACCAAGGCGAUGAUACGUAGCCGAACUGAGAGGUUGAUCGGCCACAUUGGGACUGAGACACGGCCCAAACUCCUACGGGAGGCAGCAGUAGGGAAUCUUCCACAAUGGACGCAAGUCUGAUGGAGCAACGCCGCGUGAGUGAAGAAGGCUUUCGGGUCGUAAAACUCUGUUGUUGGAGAAGAAUGGUCGGCAGAGUAACUGUUGUCGGCGUGACGGUAUCCAACCAGAAAGCCACGGCUAACUACGUGCCAGCAGCCGCGGUAAUACGUAGGUGGCAAGCGUUAUCCGGAUUUAUUGGGCGUAAAGCGAGCGCAGGCGGUUUUUUAAGUCUGAUGUGAAAGCCCUCGGCUUAACCGAGGAAGCGCAUCGGAAACUGGGAAACUUGAGUGCAGAAGAGGACAGUGGAACUCCAUGUGUAGCGGUGAAAUGCGUAGAUAUAUGGAAGAACACCAGUGGCGAAGGCGGCUGUCUGGUCUGUAACUGACGCUGAGGCUCGAAAGCAUGGGUAGCGAACAGGAUUAGAUACCCUGGUAGUCCAUGCCGUAAACGAUGAAUGCUAGGUGUUGGAGGGUUUCCGCCCUUCAGUGCCGCAGCUAACGCAUUAAGCAUUCCGCCUGGGGAGUACGACCGCAAGGUUGAAACUCAAAGGAAUUGACGGGGGCCCGCACAAGCGGUGGAGCAUGUGGUUUAAUUCGAAGCAACGCGAAGAACCUUACCAGGUCUUGACAUCUUUUGAUCACCUGAGAGAUCAGGUUUCCCCUUCGGGGGCAAAAUGACAGGUGGUGCAUGGUUGUCGUCAGCUCGUGUCGUGAGAUGUUGGGUUAAGUCCCGCAACGAGCGCAACCCUUAUGACUAGUUGCCAGCAUUGAGUUGGGCACUCUAGUAAGACUGCCGGUGACAAACCGGAGGAAGGUGGGGAUGACGUCAAAUCAUCAUGCCCCUUAUGACCUGGGCUACACACGUGCUACAAUGGAUGGUACAACGAGUUGCGAGACCGCGAGGUCAAGCUAAUCUCUUAAAGCCAUUCUCAGUUCGGACUGUAGGCUGCAACUCGCCUACACGAAGUCGGAAUCGCUAGUAAUCGCGGAUCAGCACGCCGCGGUGAAUACGUUCCCGGGCCUUGUACACACCGCCCGUCACACCAUGAGAGUUUGUAACACCCGAAGCCGGUGGCGUAACCCUUUUAGGGAGCGAGCCGUCUAAGGUGGGACAAAUGAUUAGGGUGAAGUCGUAACAAGGUAGCCGUAGGAGAACCUGCGGCUGGAUCACCUCCUUA